Borealophlyctis nickersoniae is the source of this 98-nucleotide non-coding RNA. NCBI's taxonomy places the organism in Eukaryota, Fungi, Chytridiomycota, Chytridiomycetes, Rhizophlyctidales, Borealophlyctidaceae. The record is from the annotation of a GenBank genome assembly.
GCUCUUGUGGCGCAAUUGGCUAGCGCGUUCGGCUGUUAAUUUGCUUUACAUAAGCAAAAGCAACCGGAAGGUUGGUGGUUCAAGCCCACCCAGGAGCG